GACAGCGCUGGGGAGAAUGAACGCCUGAGUACUCAUGUCUUUAUGCACUGUAGUAUUAUUUCCUUACAACAGACUCCUGAACCUGGAACGGCAGUGUCAAAGGGUUCACAAAAUGUUAGACUUCUGAAGCAAAUCAGAUGGCACCUUUUUUGAAUAAUGAAGAAUCUUUACCCCUGGCAUGAGGAGCUGAGGACAACUCCCACUCCACGAUGUGAAGCCACAGAGUUUCGAGGCCCCAGGACCUCCAGCGUCAAUGUUGUGGGAUGAUGGGUGACAGAGCCAAAGCAUCGCCAUCUUGGACAAGCACGGUCAUUCUGAAGUUCCCCUUGAUCAAAAACUGCCUAAACCCAAAGGAUAUCAGCCUGAUGGCUAAGAUGCCUCCUGAUUGACCUAGUACACUGGGUUAAAAGGGAAUUAAAAACAUU
This 425-nucleotide long non-coding RNA is filed under the name Homo sapiens (human). Its description in RNAcentral is "non-protein coding lnc-PHLDB1-1:1". Lineage: Eukaryota; Metazoa; Chordata; Mammalia; Primates; Hominidae. The record is from RNAcentral.